GGGGUUGUGGCUCAGUGGUAGAGCGCUUGCCUAGCAUGUGCGAGGCCCUGGGUUCGAUCCCUAGCACCCCA
This 71-nucleotide transfer RNA is filed under the name Ictidomys tridecemlineatus (thirteen-lined ground squirrel). RNAcentral describes it as "Spermophilus tridecemlineatus (thirteen-lined ground squirrel) tRNA". It matches the Rfam family "tRNA". Rfam says of the family: Transfer RNA (tRNA) molecules are approximately 80 nucleotides in length. Their secondary structure includes four short double-helical elements and three loops (D, anti-codon, and T loops). Lineage: Eukaryota; Metazoa; Chordata; Mammalia; Rodentia; Sciuridae. The record is from Rfam by way of RNAcentral.